Molecule: long non-coding RNA, 188 nt
Organism: Neltuma alba
Lineage: Eukaryota; Viridiplantae; Streptophyta; Magnoliopsida; Fabales; Fabaceae
Exons: 3
Source: RefSeq, a predicted model, not a curated record
UUUCUUUCUGUUGAAUCUUGAAGAGUUGGAUUCAACUGGACAUUAAGUGUCUAUGGUCAUCGGCGUCGAUGAUUCGCUGGUCGCCGCCGCGCGUAAAGAUGGCUCCCUGAAGAUUUGGACAUUUUCCUCCUGACACAGAAGGCUGUGCUUGGUUCGGCUGGUGUCUCAUUAUAUGGCAGAUGACUUUG